AUGGAGUCCUUGUGGAAGCUGUCCUAUUUGCUUGAGCCGGCGUCACUUGCCCUCAUCGUGACGGCUGUUUCAGUUGCCUAUGCAUCAGCGUCUCGUGCUCUGGACCAUGGCAAGGAGAUGGAGAGGAACUUGGACUUCUCGGAGGCCUCCAUCACACUUGAUCGGUCGCAGGCUCUCAUGAUCCCCCUUGCAAGCUCAUGCAGCCUACUGCUGAUGUUCUAUCUGUUUUCAUCUGUAUCGCACCUCGUCACCGCGUUUACCGCCGGAGCCUCUGUGAUGGCGCUCUUCUUCUGUCUGUCUCCGUCUAUCGCCUACGCCAAGUCGCAGCUCAAUCUAAUGGAUCCUUUCGUGUCGAGGUGCUGUUCCAAGUCAUUUACCCGGUUGCAAGGAUUGCUAUUGACUUUCUGCAUAAGCACGGUGGCAGUGUGGCUGGUAACAGGGCAUUGGUUGCUAAAUAAUGUACUUGGGAUUUCCAUAUGCAUAGCAUUUGUCAGUCAUGUGAGGCUUCCCAACAUAAAGAUUUGUUCGUUGCUUCUCGUGUGUCUGUUUGUCUAUGAUGUUUUCUGGGUCUUCUUCUCCGAGAGGUUUUUCGGAGCAAAUGUUAUGGUCUCUGUUGCCACUCAGAAGGCAUCUAACCCAGUUCACACAGUAGCAAACAAGCUUAGCCUGCCUGGGUUGCAGUUGAUUACGAAGAAGAUAGAGCUUCCGGUGAAGCUUGUCUUCCCUAGGAAUUUGUUGGGCGGGAUUGUUCCAGGAAGCACUCCUGGUGACUACAUGAUGCUUGGCCUUGGAGACAUGGCCAUCCCAGGGAUGCUUCUAGCUCUUGUACUCUCUUUCGAUCAUCGCAAGAGCAAAGGUGUGGCUGUUCCAUCAGACUUGUCUCCCUCCUCAAAGCGGCGAAAAUAUGUAUGGUUUGCGCUAACAGGUUAUGGUGUUGGCUUGGUAACUGCAUUGGCAGCUGGGAUCUUGUCUCAGUCUCCCCAGCCUGCUCUACUCUACCUGGUGCCCUCGACACUCGGGCCCAUCGUGUACCUGUCAUGGUUGAGGAAUGAUCUGUGGGAGCUGUGGGAAGGAUCUGGCACAAUUGUGAACGAGAAAGCUCAUUUGCUGGAAGUCUGA
RNAcentral lists this ribosomal RNA (1119 nucleotides) under Triticum aestivum (bread wheat). Its description in RNAcentral is "partial small subunit ribosomal RNA". Lineage: Eukaryota; Viridiplantae; Streptophyta; Magnoliopsida; Poales; Poaceae. The record is from RNAcentral.